Molecule: transfer RNA, 70 nt
Filed under: Arvicola amphibius (Eurasian water vole)
Lineage: Eukaryota; Metazoa; Chordata; Mammalia; Rodentia; Cricetidae
Description: tRNA-Val
Source: RNAcentral
CAUGAUGUAGCUUAUCUACAUAAAGCAUCUGGCCUACACCCAGAAGACUCCACACCAACGGACAUCAUGA